UUAAAAUAAAAAUAAAUAAAAUUAAAGGCUAUGGCUUCAGAAGUUCUAUUACAGAUGACCUGAACGACUCAAUAGUCACAAGGCUGAUGUCCGCAUUUCUCAUCUCAAUAUACAAGCCACAAGCUAACAAUGACAUUGACUUCAGAAUUAAUCUGGCUAGCAAGGUAAAGCGAGAUCAAAGACUUGUGCAGUGAUACCAACACCAUGAGCAAAUGCCAGCAGGCAUUCUACUGUAGGAAGAACAUCCAAUUUUGUUCCUACAGACUGCAAUGGCCUGGUGUAAGAAUCUCUACAUCGGGUCUUUGCAUUUAAAAGGUGGUUUCAGAUCACUAAGGGUUUUUUUGCUGUAUUUCCUCUAGGCAUGCAUGUAUGGCAGAUGUGAAGCAAGGUCAUGUGUUUCUCUGAACUGGACUACUGGAGUAUGAGGGGCAUGGGGCUCUUUCCUGCCUCCAUCCUGACCUUCACCAUUAAGACGGGAGCAGCAACGCUUGUUGAUGUCUAAUCAGCCUGGGGAAGUUCUGUCCUUUGGGGAGCUGUGUUCUCACUGCAAGAUGUUCCAAGUCUUCCUCUUUCCAUGUAUGUUGAACCUUCCUGCUAACAAGCCUGACAAGAAAGCAUUACACAUCUUUGAAGAAAAGUGGAAAGAACAAAUCCUGCUCUGGACAACCCAGGAAAGGACUGGAAUGCCCCAGGAUGCUGCACACAGCUUCCCAUACGGAGGAAACCAAGGCCUGCAUCCACAAAGCAUGACCUCAGGUCCUGGGAUUUUCUCUGCAGCCUCCAGCACACAGAAACAGA
Molecule: long non-coding RNA, 798 nt
Organism: Corvus hawaiiensis (hawaiian crow)
Lineage: Eukaryota; Metazoa; Chordata; Aves; Passeriformes; Corvidae
Exons: 4
Source: RefSeq, a predicted model, not a curated record